UGUGUGUGUGUGUGUCCUUGUUUAAUUUGUAAUAGAGGCUUGCUGAUAGGUGCAAAAAUAAAACCCCACAUCUUUUGCAAUAUAGAACUAAUUGUCCAAUGAGUUUGGUGAAAUAUAAGAAGGGGUAUG
Perognathus longimembris pacificus (Pacific pocket mouse) is the source of this 129-nucleotide small nucleolar RNA. RefSeq annotates it as small nucleolar RNA SNORA40. The record is from RefSeq and is a predicted model, not a curated record. NCBI's taxonomy places the organism in Eukaryota, Metazoa, Chordata, Mammalia, Rodentia, Heteromyidae. The transcript has a single exon.